CAACUACCUUAUAAUUUUUUAUCCUCUCAAGCGUCAUUGGAACUUACUAAAAUAAGAGUUGGCAACGAAUACGGGCUUAGCGUAGAAAGAUAGACUCUGUGUGGUGGUGGUGGAUCUCUAUCGAUAGGGGUGGAAGACGUCAAAUAACUUGAUUUAAAAAGAGAACACAGCUAUUUCAAUGUUUAUAGGGAAUAUGGCUCAGGGUCUGAUAUGGGCAACAGCCGAGGACUUGGCAAGGAAUAGAGGACGAGUCCUUUCUUUAUACCGUCAGAUAUUAAGAAGCCUCAAUUCCCCAAUACUUCCCAUGAACUUAGCAGCAAGAUUGGCCAAGAAAGCAGAGGCUCGUGCUAUCUUCAUGCUAAGCGCAGAAGAGGAAUCCCUUCACAACAUUGAGGACCUCAUUGAUACUGGAGAGUACGCUCUUUCCCUCUUAAGAAAAGGGGAAAUCCCUAAAUACAUCCAAUGAGUGCACCACUGGUUACUGAGCCUCUCCCAUACUAUGUUAUACACAUUUAAUGAUGCAUUCUUAUAUUUUUGUAGGACUAACCAUUUUGUUAGAGUGUAGUUUUUUGCCCGUUGGC
Molecule: long non-coding RNA, 581 nt
Organism: Papaver somniferum (opium poppy)
Lineage: Eukaryota; Viridiplantae; Streptophyta; Magnoliopsida; Ranunculales; Papaveraceae
Exons: 3
Source: RefSeq, a predicted model, not a curated record